GGUGGCUCAGUGGUAGAGCGUCUGCCUUGCAUGCAUGAGGCCCUGGGUUCGAUUCCUCAGUACCA
RNAcentral lists this transfer RNA (65 nucleotides) under Dipodomys ordii (Ord's kangaroo rat). It matches the Rfam family "tRNA". From Rfam's summary of the family: Transfer RNA (tRNA) molecules are approximately 80 nucleotides in length. Their secondary structure includes four short double-helical elements and three loops (D, anti-codon, and T loops). The record is from Rfam by way of RNAcentral. Lineage: Eukaryota; Metazoa; Chordata; Mammalia; Rodentia; Heteromyidae.